GCCCUCGUAGCUCAGGGGAUAGAGCAACCGCCUCCUAAGCGGUAGGCCGGCAGUUCAAAUCUGCCCGGGGGCA
Molecule: transfer RNA, 73 nt
Filed under: Actinomycetes bacterium
Lineage: Bacteria; Bacillati; Actinomycetota; Actinomycetes
Also listed under: 1 other name
Description: Actinobacteria bacterium tRNA-Arg
Rfam family: tRNA
About the family: Transfer RNA (tRNA) molecules are approximately 80 nucleotides in length. Their secondary structure includes four short double-helical elements and three loops (D, anti-codon, and T loops).
Source: RNAcentral